AGCGAACGCUGGCGGCAGGCCUAACACAUGCAAGUCGAACGAACUCUUCGGAGUUAGUGGCGGACGGGUGAGUAACACGUGGGAACGUGCCUUUUGGUUCGGAAUAACUCAGGGAAACUUGUGCUAAUACCGAAUGUGCCCUUCGGGGGAAAGAUUUAUCGCCAUUAGAGCGGCCCGCGUCUGAUUAGCUAGUUGGUGAGGUAACGGCUCACCAAGGCGACGAUCAGUAGCUGGUCUGAGUGGAUGACCAGCCACACUGGGACUGAGACACGGCCCAGACUCCUACGGGAGGCAGCAGUGGGGAAUCUUGCGCAAUGGGCGAAAGCCUGACGCAGCCAUGCCGCGUGAAUGAUGAAGGUCUUAGGAUUGUAAAAUUCUUUCACCGGGGACGAUAAUGACGGUACCCGGAGAAGAAGCCCCGGCUAACUUCGUG
RNAcentral lists this ribosomal RNA (433 nucleotides) under uncultured bacterium. RNAcentral describes it as "partial 16S ribosomal RNA". It matches the Rfam family "Bacterial small subunit ribosomal RNA", at positions 29 to 507 of the family's 1533-position model. The record is from RNAcentral.